UACGGAGGGGGCAAGCGUUAUUCGGAAUUAUUGGGCGUAAAGGGCGUGUAGGCGGCUAGAUGUGUCAAAGGUGAAAUCCCUCGGCUCAACUGAGGAACUGCCUUUGAAACUGUCUGGCUUGAGGCCGGGAGAGGGUAGCGGAAUUCCCAGUGUAGCGGUGAAAUGCGUAGAUAUUGGGAGGAACACCAGUGGCGAAGGCGGCUACCUGGACCGGUUCUGACGCUGAGGCGCGAAAGCGUGGGGAGCAAACAGG
Molecule: ribosomal RNA, 253 nt
Filed under: uncultured bacterium
Lineage: Bacteria
Description: partial 16S ribosomal RNA
Rfam family: Bacterial small subunit ribosomal RNA
Source: RNAcentral